This 378-nucleotide ribosomal RNA is filed under the name Triticum aestivum (bread wheat). RNAcentral describes it as "partial small subunit ribosomal RNA". The record is from RNAcentral. Lineage: Eukaryota; Viridiplantae; Streptophyta; Magnoliopsida; Poales; Poaceae.
AUGUUCUCCUCGUCCUUGAUCCCAUCAUCCAACAUAACCUCAAGCCUAUUCUCCUUCAUCGUAGACAUAAACAUCAUUGAUAGACUCUUCUCCUGCUCAAGGGCAUCGAGAUUAAAUGGCUUCUUGCAUGCGAGCAGCUCCAGAAGAACAACACCAAAGCUGUACACGUCACUCUUGUCUGUCAGCUGACAUGUUUGCAUGUAUUCCGGGUCGAGGUACCCACAAGUUCCUUGCACAAGUGUGACAAACUGUGACUCGUCGGUUGGUGCAAGGAUGGAGGCGCCAAAGUCGAAGACUUUAGCUUUGUGGUUAUCGUCGAGAAGGAUGUUGAAAGAUUUAACAUCACCAUGGAGGAUCGGAGUCAAAGCCCCUGAAUGA